This 871-nucleotide long non-coding RNA is filed under the name Rattus norvegicus (Norway rat). Its description in RNAcentral is "long non-coding RNA NONRATT004984". Lineage: Eukaryota; Metazoa; Chordata; Mammalia; Rodentia; Muridae. The record is from RNAcentral.
ACGAGCGUCUACAGCCAUCUCAGAGACUGGACAGGUGGGAUCCUGUCAGAGACCUGUGCAAUGGCUUAUGGCCUUGGGAAAAAGGGACUCUUAGCUCUUGGUAUCACAGGGUCAUCUGGAAUACAAGGUGAGAGUGGCAGGCUAGUCUGACUGCGAUCCCAGGUGACUGGCUCUUGUGAAGAAUCUUAAGCGUCCUGUGGUACCGUGGAGUGGAAAAUGACUUCAGUAAUAAUUGUAGUGGUUUUUGGAUGCUGUAUGACUCUUGAGUUGUCCUGAUUUGUGUCUAGUUUUUGAACCUCUGGACUACUAUUCAAGCCCACAUGCUUACUUCUCUACUUUCAUACUAAGAUUGUCUUUCCUUUUUUUUUUUUUUUUUUUUCUAUUUUGGAAUAGAGACAUGGCUGUUCUUGUGGUUGGAUGUUGGUCUAGCCUUUCAUUCAUUCAUGCAGCUAAUAUUUCUUGAACACCUAACUUUACAGGAAUUGUGCUUUUCUAGAGAGCAGGCAGCUCAGCUGAUGCUUAUGUCCUGCUCUAAGGCAUAAGACCUCAAAGGGAAGACACAGGGUACCCAUGGCGCUGUCCCAGGGUAUCGUGGAUUGUGUUCAUUUUCUUUAUUCUCUUCAUAUGGUUUCUGUUCCCUUUUCUGAGAGCUUAGCUUUACUGACACUCAGGUGUCAAGGAAAAAGGCCUUCUCAGGACCUACUUUGAUUAACCCCUGUGUUCUGAUACUGAUAACAGCAGAUGUGGUUGCUUUCCUCAAAGGCUUAUACUAACCUCAGUUUGAAAGCUUGAGGGCCUCAGAAGGCCAGGUUUAGCAGGAACAACGGUAACUAGAGCAGAAGCAGGCAAAAGGAAGACUGACAGGCUGGGC